RNAcentral lists this unclassified non-coding RNA (279 nucleotides) under plant metagenome. Its description in RNAcentral is "partial contains small subunit ribosomal RNA, internal transcribed spacer 1, and 5.8S ribosomal RNA". The record is from RNAcentral.
UUUCCGUAGGUGAACCUGCGGAAGGUUCAUUAAAAAUUAACACUCUUCCCUAUACCUACCGGUCCCCGGCUCCGUCUCAACCCUUUAUGAACUCAAUAAACCAUUCUCUUCGUCACCCUUCCCCUACCGGCGUCAUCAUCCUCCCUUCCGCACACUUUAAUCCUGCCAUUUUAAACUUUGUCUGAACCCUUCUAAUUCCUAAUGACCAAUACAUCUUUCAACAACUGAUCUCUUGUUUCUUGCAUCGAUGACGAACGCUUCCGAUCGGAUUCCCACGCG